UAGUCAUAUGCUUGUCUCAAAGAUUAAGCCAUGCAUGUCUCAGUGUAAACUUUUAAACAGUGAAACUGCGAAUGGCUCAUUAGAACAGUUAUAGUUUAUUUGAUAUUCACUUUUACAUGGAUAACCGUGGGAAUUCUAGGGCUAAUACAUGCGUACCCGCAAGGGUUGUGUUUAUUAGAUUAAAACCAUCACUGCAGCAAUGCAGUUUUGUUGGAAUAAUAAUAACCGAUCGAACCGCACGCUUUAUGUGGCGGUAAAUCAUUCAAGUUUCUGACUU
RNAcentral lists this ribosomal RNA (277 nucleotides) under uncultured eukaryote. Its description in RNAcentral is "partial 18S ribosomal RNA". It matches the Rfam family "Eukaryotic small subunit ribosomal RNA", at positions 21 to 313 of the family's 1831-position model. The record is from RNAcentral.